Molecule: long non-coding RNA, 2516 nt
Organism: Podarcis raffonei (Aeolian wall lizard)
Lineage: Eukaryota; Metazoa; Chordata; Lepidosauria; Squamata; Lacertidae
Exons: 2
Source: RefSeq, a predicted model, not a curated record
AAGCAAAAGGAAAACAGGUAAGAUUAAUGGUGGGGGCGGAGUGAGGAGCACAAGAAGCCGGGGGUGCCAACUUGAAUAAAAUAUUGGGGGGGGGCAAGCCCCGCCCCGCAUAAUUCCUCACUCUCCCCUUGUCCGCAGGCUUCCCCGAGGCUCCGCCCCCAGAAGCCGCGGGAAGGCUCGCUGGGUGCGGAGCGAGGGCACCCCAGGGUGCCGGGUCGGGGCAGAAGAAAGCCGUCAGGCAUCUCGCGUCGCCAUGGAGAGAUCUCAAGCCGGAGUCCCUUGCAGCCUCCUCGUGAGGAGAGACCAACAGAGACCAGAUCCAAAACGGUAAGAGAAGAGCAGCUCUUUGUCCGCGAGAGCGCGGCUGGCUGGCGAGUCGGGGGCUGCAGCGCCCGGGGAGGGAGGGGGGCAGAGAGAAGGCGCGCACCUCCCUCGGGCGAGCGGGCGGGGAUGAGCAUCUCUGAAUGGAUGCUCUGUGCCGGGAAAGGCGGGGGGGGACCCCUUUGUGUGGGCGACAGAUUAGAUCAAGCGCCACGUGCGCUGGGAGCCCCAUAUUUCCCCGAUGGGAUCAUCCCGCAAUCUGCCCCUCGUGACCAUCCGCGGACGCAGCUGCCUGGUGUCUCCAUGCAGACAAAUGGUGGGCAUUUCCGGAGCCAAACGCCCCCCCCCCGCUGAAAAAAGCUUUUGUUCCAGUUUCGGCCCUCGAUUCUGUCUGCCUUCUUAAUUGGGGCGAGGGGGGGCAUCCCAUCCAGCAGAGUUGGCUCAUCCCGGCUGACAGCGGCUCCUCCUUUGCCCCCGAACUGUUAGCCCAGUCGCUGAAGAAGUAGCCAAGAAGCGCGCGGUGCGCCUUUCUUCGUCCCCGCUCCCAGUCCACUGCCAAAUCACAGGUUGUGGCUAAGUAUAGUAACCACAAAUGUACAUCCUGGGUUGAUCUGCAUGGCUUUUGGGGAACGUUUUUUGAAGAGCCCUGUGCAGUCAAUCACCCUUUGCAUUCACUCAUUUCUGUGGUCACUGGGAAGAAUUCAGUGCAUUACACUAGCCUGGUGCGCUGAAAGGAAGGGAAGAUCAGUAGCUUCAGAUUGUAGAAGCAGACAAAAAACGGAGUGAUUCCUUCCUUUACUUUAGUGAAAAGGAUUGGAGCUGAUCUGCAAUUACUGAAGGAGGGAGAGAGAGAGAUUAGAGGAGAAUGAUUUGUUCCUCAAGGCCAAGGAAGUUAAUCAGCUCCAGUUGCAGUGUAUGGGGAGGGGCUGGGUCUUUCUCUGAAGCACCGGCUGGAAGAAGAGAUGGGGGGAGGGGAAGUGGCCUUUUCCCCCAGUCCCCGGAGGGUUGCCCUCUGCCCAGCCUUGGCUGGAUGGAGUUAGCUGCUCUGAGUUAGGGCAAGGAUCACAGGACAAUUAAUGAGCUCUGCUGCUGGCUGCUAAUCAGAAACAGAUCAAGGCCUCACACCUGACCCCAGCCAGGGAGAGAGCAGAGUGGAGCUCAGCCAGCACAAAGCUGCAAAAAGGAGUGCGUACUCUUUCCUGGAGAGCAUCCUGUAGCAGGAGGGAAGCAGUGGAAAUCUGGCUCUGACUCAGGACAGUUGGCCAGGAAGGUUCUGUCUGUGACACAUUGUCCUGCAAGUUGCUUCUGCUCAUAGGGAUCCUGUGACAGAUCCCGGAUGGCCCAAAUGGUACCUCGUAUUUAGCCAUGUAACAAUGAACCAAAGUCUACAAAGAGAGACACAGAAAAGGCAAGCAGUGAAAUAAGUUUUGUGAACAGUGUGAACUGCUCUAUUGUCAAGAAUAUGUUUUGAGAGGAGUCUCUGUUGGAGAAAUACCAGACAACAGCUUAACAAGCCAAAGUUUUCGAGCAGCCUGUGGAAGAGCAGGAGGGAAGGGCAUAAAAAAUUGUGAGGAGAGGAUGGAAAAUCUGAAGAUCUGUCAGCAUGCCUGCUUUAAGGUCAGGAUGAGUGGGACUAAGAGAAGCAAAGUGAACUGCAUUUAUAUUGACUAUUGACUUUAAUCCAUUUUUAUUUACUUUUGACCUUAUUUAUCCAUCCUGUUUUAUUAAUAGGGAAGAGAAUGCACUCUUGUAAUAAAAAGGUGAAAAACAAGAACAAUCCCUGUUGUUAUUUGUCAAGGGAAGGCUCUGAUACAGAGGCAGCUCUCUUGAGAAUAACGGCCUUCUCACCCCCAGGAAAUUCAAGGCAGGUAAUGCUGCUGGCCUCCCACAUUCAAGGGAAGGUAGAGGCAGGACAUCUGAUCACUGACAACCUUCCUGGAAGCCUUUCAGCUGAAUCCUCUGUGUGUUUACUGAGAACUAGCGCACAGAAUCAGAUUUGUAGAGUUGGAAGGGAUCCUAAGGGUCAUCUAUCCAAGAGUCAUUUAUCCAACCCCCUGCAAUGCAGGAAUCUCAGGCAGAUGACCACCCUACUCAUGAAGCAACCAAAAACCAAAUGAAAAUGUAUGCUAAGCCAAGCAUGGGCAGUCUAUAAAACAAAGAAGCAAAGCACAACAGGCCAUUAGCAACAAGCGGCA